AGCAGCCGCGGUAAUUCCGGCUCCAAUAGCGUAUAUUAAAGUUGUUGCAGUUAAAAGGCUCGUAGUUGAAUUUCGGGAUCAAAGGAUCGGUCAUGCCUUGGUAUGUACUGGUUUUAUUGGUUCUCACCUUCUAAAGAACCAUAAUGUCAUUCAUUUGAUGUUAUGGGGAAUUAGGACUGUUACCUUGAAAAAAUUAGAGUGUUUAAAGCAGGCUUACGCUUGAAUACACUAGCAUGGAAUAAUGAAAUAGGACGUUCGAUCCUAUUUUGUUGGUUUCUAGGAUUGACGUAAUGAUUAAUAGGGAUAGUUGGGGGCAUUAGUAUUCAAUUGUCAGAGGUGAAAUUCUUGGAUUUAUUGAAGACUAACUACUGCGAAAGCAUUUGCCAAGGAUGUUUUCAUUAAUCAAGAACGAAAGUUAGGGGAUCGAAGACGAUCAGAUACCGUCGUAGUCUUAACCAUAAACUAUGCCGACUAGGGAUCGGAUGAUGUUAAUUUUUUAAUGACUCAUUCGGCGCCUUAC
RNAcentral lists this unclassified non-coding RNA (520 nucleotides) under uncultured Archaeospora. RNAcentral's name for it is "SSU rRNA". It matches the Rfam family "Eukaryotic small subunit ribosomal RNA", at positions 569 to 1091 of the family's 1831-position model. Lineage: Eukaryota; Fungi; Glomeromycota; Glomeromycetes; Archaeosporales; Archaeosporaceae. The record is from RNAcentral.